ACCUACGGGAGGCAGCAGUGGGGAAUAUUGGGCAAUGGGCGCAAGCCUUACCCAGCAAUACCGCGUGAGUGAAGAAGGUCUUCGGAUUGUAAAGCUCUUUGAUCAGGGACGAACAGAUGACGGUACCUGAAGAACAAGCCCCGGCUAACUACGUGCCAGCAGCCGCGGUAAAACGUAGGGGGCAAGCGUUAUCCGGAAUUAUUGGGUGUAAAGGGUGCGUAGACGGAAGAACAAGUUGGUUGUGAAAUCCCUCGGCUCAACUGAGGAACUGCAACCAAAACUAUUCUCCUUGAGUGUCGGAGAGG
Molecule: ribosomal RNA, 305 nt
Filed under: uncultured bacterium
Lineage: Bacteria
Description: bacterial SSU rRNA
Rfam family: Bacterial small subunit ribosomal RNA
Source: RNAcentral